This 1133-nucleotide ribosomal RNA is filed under the name human gut metagenome. RNAcentral's name for it is "bacterial SSU rRNA". It matches the Rfam family "Bacterial small subunit ribosomal RNA", at positions 277 to 1520 of the family's 1533-position model. The record is from RNAcentral.
CGAUGGAUAGGGGUUCUGAGAGGAAGGUCCCCCACAUUGGUACUGAGACACGGACCAAACUCCUACGGGAGGCAGCAGUGAGGAAUAUUGGUCAAUGGCCGAGAGGCUGAACCAGCCAAGUCGCGUGAAGGAAGAAGGAUCUAUGGUUUGUAAACUUCUUUUAUAGGGGAAUAAAGUGGAGGACGUGUCCUUUUUUGUAUGUACCCUAUGAAUAAGCAUCGGCUAACUCCGUGCCAGCAGCCGCGGUAAUACGGAGGAUGCGAGCGUUAUCCGGAUUUAUUGGGUUUAAAGGGUGCGUAGGUGGUGAUUUAAGUCAGCGGUGAAAGUUUGUGGCUCAACCAUAAAAUUGCCGUUGAAACUGGGUUACUUGAGUGUGUUUGAGGUAGGCGGAAUGCGUGGUGUAGCGGUGAAAUGCAUAGAUAUCACGCAGAACUCCGAUUGCGAAGGCAGCUUACUAAACCAUAACUGACACUGAAGCACGAAAGCGUGGGGAUCAAACAGGAUUAGAUACCCUGGUAGUCCACGCAGUAAACGAUGAUUACUAGGAGUUUGCAACGGUGAAACUCAAAGGAAUUGACGGGGGCCCGCACAAGCGGAGGAACAUGUGGUUUAAUUCGAUGAUACGCGAGGAACCUUACCCGGGUUUGAACGUAGUCUGACCGGAGUGGAAACACUCUUUCUAGCAAUAGCAGAUUACGAGGUGCUGCAUGGUUGUCGUCAGCUCGUGCCGUGAGGUGUCGGCUUAAGUGCCAUAACGAGCGCAACCCUUAUCACUAGUUACUAACAGGUGAAGCUGAGGACUCUGGUGAGACUGCCAGCGUAAGCUGUGAGGAAGGUGGGGAUGACGUCAAAUCAGCACGGCCCUUACAUCCGGGGCGACACACGUGUUACAAUGGCAUGGACAAAGGGCAGCUACCUGGUGACAGGAUGCUAAUCUCCAAACCAUGUCUCAGUUCGGAUAAUCGCGCAUCAGCCAUGGCGCGGUGAAUACGUUCCCGGGCCUUGUACACACCGCCCGUCAAGCCAUGGGAGCCGGGGGUACCUGAAGUCCGUAACCGCAAGGAUCGGCCUAGGGUAAAACUGGUGACUGGGGCUAAGUCGUAACAAGGUAGCCGUACCGGAAGGUGCGGCUG